UCCAAUAAAGUGUCAAAUGAUAUAGUAAGAACAAUAGCUAAUAAAAUAAGACUAUUUGAUUACAUUGUAGGUAUCGGUAUAUUUCAUGUUUCUUAUGGUACAGUUAAUUUUCUAGAAUUGCUGUACGGGUUGCGGGUAUGAUGCAGCAGGAUAUCCGGCUUGCUGCUGC
RNAcentral lists this non-coding RNA (169 nucleotides) under Fragilariopsis kerguelensis. Lineage: Eukaryota; Bacillariophyta; Bacillariophyceae; Bacillariales; Bacillariaceae. The record is from RNAcentral.